This is an RNA transcript of Drosophila subobscura, 738 nucleotides long. RefSeq lists it as uncharacterized. The record is from RefSeq and is a predicted model, not a curated record. NCBI's taxonomy places the organism in Eukaryota, Metazoa, Arthropoda, Insecta, Diptera, Drosophilidae. The transcript is spliced from 5 exons.
AGCGGGCACUCUGAGCGGCAGUUCGGCGCGUUUUUCUGUUCAAUUUUUUUUUGCGUUCAAUUUGUGCUUAAAUUUUGUGUUUUGUGAACUUAUACAAAUGGAUAUGUCUUACCCAAUGUCGUUUGAGAAGGAGGUAAUAGAGUACGAGACUCUUUGGGAGUUCUUGAAGAAAAUUAAAAUGGAAUCCGUGUUUGAGGACUUGAAAGCUGCUGAAGUAACAUACGACCGCUUGAAGUUUAUGAUCCCUGAGGAUGUCAGAGACACCAUUCGUAAAGUAGGCCCUCGUGCCGAAUUCCGUGAAAGAAUUUUGAGGAUGAAACGGACAGAGGUAAAUAAAUUUUGGAAGCAUUAAGGGAUACACGGACUUUAGAGUACAACACAAAAAUUUGGACCAACUUAUUAAUCGCUCCCCUGAGGGACUGACUGUGCUUCAGUCUUUCAAAACUAAACUUUCGUUAAGUCAAGAAGAGAGAGAUGUGAUGGUGAAACUUCUCAUAGGAGAAGCUGAGACCAAUCGCAAUGCCAUCAAAAUGCAAACAUUAAGCACUUUACUUGACGAAAUAGUAACUGUAUUUCCAACUGAAGAAUCCAGGAAGAUUUUUAAAGCUUUGGAAACGCAUCCUCUAUUUUUUUGGCCCGGAUGGAGCUCCAAAGCAUUUGCAUAACGAUACCAUUCGUAAUUACUAAAUAAGUUUUCACAACAGUAUAAAAUAUAUAAAAUAACAUUUAAUCUCGUAA